Molecule: ribosomal RNA, 1119 nt
Filed under: uncultured bacterium
Lineage: Bacteria
Description: bacterial SSU rRNA
Rfam family: Bacterial small subunit ribosomal RNA
Source: RNAcentral
AGUGAGGAAUAUUGGUCAAUGGGCGCAAGCCUGAACCAGCCAUCCCGCGUGAAGGAAGAAUGCGCUACGCGUUGUAAACUUCUUUUCCAGGGGGAGAAUAAUCCUGUCGUGACAGGACUUGACGGUACUCUGGGAAUAAGCAUCGGCUAACUCCGUGCCAGCAGCCGCGGUAAUACGGAGGAUGCGAGCGUUAUCCGGAUUUAUUGGGUUUAAAGGGUGCGUAGGCGGAUUGAUAAGUCAGUGGUGAAAUUCUACAGCUUAACUGUAGACUUGCCGUUGAUACUGUUAGUCUUGAGUGUGGUCAAGGCAGGCGGAAUGUGUAAUGUAGCGGUGAAAUGCUUAGAUAUUACACAGAACACCGAUUGCGAAGGCAGCUUGCUGGGUCAUUACUGACGCUGAUGCACGAAAGCGUGGGGAUCAAACAGGAUUAGAUACCCUGGUAGUCCACGCCGUAAACUAUGAUCACUCGCUGUUGGCGAUACACAGUCAGCGGCUAAGCAAAAGCAUUAAGUGAUCCACCCGGGGAGUACGGCCGCAAGGCUGAAACUCAAAGGAAUUGACGGGGACCCGCACAAGCGGAGGAACAUGUGGUUUAAUUCGAUGAUACGCGAGGAACCUUACCUGGGCUUAAAUGUGGAGUGCAUUGGUGAGAAAUCAUCAUUUUCUUCGGAACUCUCUGCAAGGUGCUGCAUGGUUGUCGUCAGCUCGUGCCGUGAGGUGUCGGGUUAAGUCCCAUAACGAGCGCAACCCUUAUCGUUAGUUGCCAGCGGGUCAAGCCGGGGACUCUAGCGAAACUGCCGGUGUAAACCGAGAGGAAGGUGGGGAUGACGUCAAAUCAGCACGGCCCUUAUGUCCAGGGCUACACACGUGUUACAAUGGCCGGUACAGAGGGCAGCUACCUGGAGACAGGAUGCGAAUCUCGAAAGCCGGUCUCAGUUCGGAUCGGAGUCUGCAACUCGACUCCGUGAAGCUGGAUUCGCUAGUAAUCGCGCAUCAGCCACGGCGCGGUGAAUACGUUCCCGGGCCUUGUACACACCGCCCGUCAAGCCAUGGAAGUUGGGGGUGCCUGAAGUCCGUAACCGCGAGGAGCGGCCUAGGGUAAAACCAGUGACUGGGGCU